RNAcentral lists this ribosomal RNA (435 nucleotides) under uncultured bacterium. Its description in RNAcentral is "bacterial SSU rRNA". It matches the Rfam family "Bacterial small subunit ribosomal RNA", at positions 343 to 794 of the family's 1533-position model. The record is from RNAcentral.
CGGAGGCAGCAGUGAGGAAUAGUAGGCAAUGGGCGAAAGCCUGACCUCGCGACGCCGCGUGAAGGAUGAAGGCCUUCGGGUCGUAAACUUCUUUUCUCGGGGAUGAAUAAUGACAGUACCCGGGGAAUAAGUCACGGCUAACUACGUGCCAGCAGCCGCGGUAAUACGUAGGUGGCUAGCGUUAUCCGGAUUUACUGGGCGUAAAGCGUGCGCAGGCGGCCUUUCAAGUCAGGUGUAAAAUCUCCCGGCUCAACUGGGAGAGACCAUCUGAUACUGUUUGGCUAGAGUACAGCAGAGGGAAGUGGAAUUCCCGGUGUAGUGGUGGAAUGCGUAGAUAUCGGGAGGAACACCAGUGGCGAAAGCGGCUUUCUGGGCUGUUACUGACGCUGUAGCACGAAAGCGUGGGGAGCAAACAGGAUUAGAUACCCUGGUAGC